GUCGCAAUGGAUGAUUUUCUUAAAUUGGAGAGAUUGUCGAUUAUUUCAAAAGUAAAUGAACAAAUAGAGAAUUUUGUUGGAAGAAAGUCUAUAAAUAUUGCCGAAAAAGUUGUCGAACUCUCAGAACUUGACUCCUCAUUUGAAAAUAUUUUUGAAAUGUUUGCAAAAAACGAAAUCCACGUAUCAGCUGACUUUAUAGAAAAUCUCAUCACUCUCAUAAACAAAAUGAAGUCGGCUUCAAUCUCCAUCUGCAAAAAAGAGACUCAUUCUUCAAAAAAAGAUCAAAACUCGUCGAGGACCACUACACAUUCCAGGGAAGCCAAACCUUCAAAACAGAUAGAAGACAGCGACAUUCUUCUACAGAAAGCAGGAGGAAAAGAACUCACAAAGUAUAUAUUUUAUUCAUUUCAGAUCAAAUCGUGAUAAAAGUAGAAGAUCUCGUGAACGAGACGAAGAAAGGUCAUCCAGGAAACGACAACGUGAUCACCACAGCCAUUCUCGCCGACAUAGAAGAUCCAGAUCCCGUUCCAGGACAGUUUUGCCGUUAGAUCCAGAAAUAAACAGCAUUUACAGCGGAAGAAUAACCACAAUUAAGGAUUUUGGGUGUUUUGUUGAAAUAUUUGGACUGAGGCAAAGAAGAGAAGGCCUCGUGCAUAUUUCGAAUGUAAAAAUACCAGUUUUAAUGUGUAGAUCAAAGAUGAGCGGAUUGGGAGUGUCAGAGACGUCGUGGAGGUCGGGCAGAGUGUGAAAGUGAAGGUCACUGAGAUCAAAGAACACGGCAAAAUAUCGCUCGUUAUGAAAGGAAUUGAUCAGGAGACAGGAGAUGACUUGAUUGGGGGAGGAGAGACGUUAUAUACUCCUUUGGGGGACAUGGAACAUUCCAGAAAUCCCGACAGACCAGAUUUGGGGACUCGGACACAAACCAAUCCAAAUUACCGAAAGCAGAUGAACCGGAAGCUGAACAGGAUUUCUUCCCCUGAGAGAUUUGAGUUGGCACAAAUGCGGGCUGGGAACUGUCUUGGGCGGAAUCAGAUUUACACUGAUUUGGACGGUGAUGACCAGGCUAUUUGUGACGAUUCUUCUGGUGACGACGAUGUGGAGAUUGAGCAAGUCAAACAACGUCCUCCAUUUUUGCACGAUUUCUCAAAGACCUCCCAAGGAGAUUUAU
RNAcentral lists this long non-coding RNA (1168 nucleotides) under Octopus sinensis (East Asian common octopus). RNAcentral's name for it is "uncharacterized LOC118760956". Lineage: Eukaryota; Metazoa; Mollusca; Cephalopoda; Octopoda; Octopodidae. The record is from RNAcentral.